CAAUAGCGUAUAUUAAAGUUGUUGCAGUUAAAAAGCUCGUAGUUGGAUUUCUGGUAGGAGUGACCGUUCCGAACUUGAUUGUUCGUGUAUUGUGUUUUCUCCAGCCAUCCUUGUGGAGAACUUUUCUUGCAUUAAUUUGUAGGGAUUGGGACCCGCAUCGUUUACUGUGAAAAAAUUAGAGUGUUUAAAGCAGGCAAUCGCUUGAAUACAUUAGCAUGGAAUAAUAAGAUAGGACUUUGGUACUAUUUUGUUGGUUUGCAUACCAAAUUAAUGAUCAACAGGAACAGUUUGAGGAUAUUCGUAUGAACAUGUCAGAGGUGAAAUUCUUGGAUUUUGAUCAGACGAACUACUGCGAAAGCAUUUGUCAAGGAUGUUUUCAUUAA
Molecule: ribosomal RNA, 383 nt
Filed under: uncultured eukaryote
Lineage: Eukaryota
Description: partial 18S ribosomal RNA
Rfam family: Eukaryotic small subunit ribosomal RNA
Source: RNAcentral